RNAcentral lists this ribosomal RNA (208 nucleotides) under uncultured bacterium. Its description in RNAcentral is "partial 16S ribosomal RNA". It matches the Rfam family "Bacterial small subunit ribosomal RNA", at positions 568 to 775 of the family's 1533-position model. The record is from RNAcentral.
CGCGUAGGCGGCUUUAUAAGUCGGGGGUGAAAGCCUGUGGCUCAACCACAGAAUUGCCUUCGAUACUGUAGAGCUUGAGACCGGAAGAGGUAAGUGGAACUGCGAGUGUAGAGGUGAAAUUCGUAGAUAUUCGCAAGAACACCAGUGGCGAAGGCGGCUUACUGGUCCGGUUCUGACGCUGAGGCGCGAAAGCGUGGGGAGCAAACAG